Molecule: non-coding RNA, 39305 nt
Organism: Taeniopygia guttata (zebra finch)
Lineage: Eukaryota; Metazoa; Chordata; Aves; Passeriformes; Estrildidae
Source: RefSeq, a predicted model, not a curated record
AGAGUUUGUUUUCCUGGGGGUUCAAGGGUGUUUAGUUCUAUUCCUUAAUCUUCAGAAAGUGUAGAUGAGGCAACGAGAAGUAAUAAUCAAAGCAGAGAACCCUGAUCUAAGUAGAUCAGACGCUCCAGAGAGCCUCCUGUUGUGUUCAGCAAAUGCCUACAGAAUCUGUCAGUGCUGGUUUGUAUUAAAGUGCUGCCUGACGGGGCUGGGAUGGGUCGUCAGGGAAGGUUACAGGACGCUCCAUGAUAAGUGUGAGGCCACCUGUUGUAUCUGGACAAGACAAGAUCUGACGUGAAAGAUAGCUGGAGGUGUUCCUGUUGUUUCCCUGUAUUACAUUCUCUCUCUUUUUUUUUUUAAUGCAGUUAUGUUCUCACAGAGAAGUACCUACAUUCUGGUUUUGUCUUAGUUUGUGUUUCCCAAGUGGCUUGCGUGCGCAUGUGCGUGCGUGUGUGUGUGUCGGAGGAAUCUCUACAGUCUUCACUUAUUUUAUUUAUAGCUUUCAGGUUAAUGUUGUUGCUUUUGAUUAUUCAUAAAGAGCUUUAUCAAACUGUUUACAGCUAGGUAAAACUGGAGGGGGAAAAAACUGUAUUUAAUUAUUGAUAUGGCCAGUCUGGUUCAUGGUAGAUGUUGUCCAUGUGUCUUCCAGUACACAGACAAAAGCUUGCUUGAACACUUUUUUCUCAGUUUCUGGGCUGCUUUCUUAAAUGACAUAUGUUUUGCAAGUUUCUUACUUCAGGGUUAAGUAUAUGAACUUUGGCUGAAGGCUGACUGCAGGGAUAGACUAUGUUAAGAGGAUUGAAAAUUUACAUUCAGUAAAAUAGCGACCCUUGAGGAUGGCCCAGCUGCCUCAAAUGCCAUCAGCAGGCUUGGAGCUGGUCACCAGCAUUUGGGUGAAGGUGGUGUGCUCAGGGCAGAGCCUUCUCCCAGGAACACAGUCAGUGUUCUCCCUUUCGUUUGCCUGAUUUUCUUUGCUUUGAAGCUUUUCUGCAUAGUCACGCUGGAAUAAAAAAAAAAACAAACCACACUCCAAAAAACAAAAAGGUUAUGCUGUGUAUUUGCCUCGGACUCCUAACCCAGAGGUAAGGGUCUCUCCUGGCUGACUGAUGUCCCUUCAGCCAGGGUAGAAUUUUAAAGGGUCUGUGUGGCUCAGAUACAUUUCCAGCUGACAGCUCUGUUGCACAGGGUUGUUUUAAAUGCGAGUUAACUGUCAACACUGAAGCACACGGCAUGAGGAGAAAACUAAAGUAGUGAAGUGGAAGUUUGGCUGUGGAGCACUUCUGAGGCUUCUCGUGGGGCGCGCCGCAGCCGGAGCAGCCAGCCAGAGCCGGGUGACACUGCCGUCCACGCCGAGGAGGAGCUGCAGCCAGGCACUGCCUUCCUCCCCGUGUUUUUCUGCUGGGGCGUUGGGCUCACGUGGCCUGAAAUGAAUGAAAAAAUUUGGCAACCUGAUUGGCAGGUCAGCCUUGAGAGGCAGCCAAGAUGUGUGGUGGUUAUCGGCAGAUCCUGGGCAUGGCAUCACCUGUGCCACACAAUAAACACAGAUGUGGCAGAGAGCAGGAUUUGAGUGGGAAGCAAAAGCGGCUUUUGCAUAGAUGCAUGACUGGAAAAUGUAGUAAACCAAGCAAAUUGCUUACCAAAAGCUUAAAUAGGAUUCCUCUGGUAUCCAGCAGGAUUCAGAAUGAGUGAGUGAUUUGUAAACCAGCACAUCCACAAAGAGAAAUAGCCUUGCUGAAACUAGCCAGGCAGUGCCUUAGCAGUGUAGUGAAAUCACUUCAAUAAAUAACUUAUUUUUUUAAAUAAUACUUUAAUGCUUCAGAUUGUUAGCAGCAUAUUUGUGUAGCCUUGAACUUCUCAAGUGUGUUUUAAAGCAAAAUACUUAAACAGCAUUUUCUGUGUUUGUAAAGUCCUGACUUCAAAGUGAUGCUGCAUCUUGUACAGGUCUUGAUGAAUCACCAAUGCCCAAGGCUGCACAGAGGAUCCAGGCUGGGCUUUGUUUUAGGUGUUAGUGAUUCAUCAGUAGGUUCUGGGGAAAUAAACUGGAACACUGGUCAGGUCAGGCAUAAGAGCCUUCUGUUCAUCUUUUAAUCCUGGAAAAUAAAAUAGAUUUCCAACAAAGAAAAAAAUAGAAAAAAAGAAACAGCAGAAAAGUAUUGCAUAAAAGCAGUAGAGGGAAGAUUACUCUGAACUCAGCAGAGGAGAGCAGUUAUCACUGCAGUGGGUAAAGGCAGGCUUAGUUUUGAACCUUUUUAGAGCAAUGAAGAGAAGAGUUACUUGGCCAAGAUCAAAGGUCUGUUCUUAACUAUAGCUUGUUAAUUGGUGCGCUGGAUAUUGCUAUUUAGGUACCAAUUUGGUGACUAUUAAGAAUUUUUCCAAAGAUGAUGGAAGUGUUCCCAACAAGCUUUGCCAUACCAGUUCCACUCAGUAUUGAUGUAUUCACGCCUACAGAAAUCUCCAUGGCCAGGACAGUCAGGUCUUGCACCCUAUGACUGAAGGACCCUGGGCUUCUGCAGCUGGAGUGGGAAGUCAGAAGGUUCCAUGAGCAGGGAGCAAGGUUUCCUCUCUGUGUGUGGGUCUGGCUGAGCUGUGGCUGCUGCCAGGGUCCUUGAGCUGAGUUGUAAAAAGCAUCCUGGCUUAUUCCUGUGCACUGUGCUCUGCAACAGAGUCCACAUCUGGUCUGAGACAGCAGAUCCCUCCCUCCCUUCUCCAUCAGCCUGAUGUGUAAGGGCCAGACUGCAGCCAGAACCAAGUUAGCAGAUUUAGAGGCACUAUAACCACAGUGGAACCACGUCUUCAGUUUGAUACAGCAGAUCAUUUGCCAUGAAAUACCAGUGAGGCAGUUGUUAGCACCAGCCCUGACUGAAGUCUGGGAAUGAGUCAGCUCUUGGGAAUUUAUUCAUAUCUAGUCAUAGCUGUUGGAGAGAAGAUGCAUUUUUCUGCCUGCCUUAUUUGUUAUAAACAAUGCACAUGUUAUCCUUGUGAAACAAAAGUAAUAUGUCUGCCAAACAAAGUGUUGAGAGACUGAACCUCAACAAAUGCAGAUAAAUUCAGAAAUUAAGUCUCAAUUUUCAACAGUGAGGAAAAUUGACCAAGAGGUCAACAUAUAAAGAGAUUUUUUGCACUGAAUCUCCAUCACUGUUGAUUUUUAUAUGAAGAUUAGAUGCUUCUUUACAAGAUACACUUUAGAUCAAACAACAAUCAAUUCAGGGAAGUUCUGUGGCUUUUAUUAUGCAAGAGGUCAUGUUGGGUAAUUUCAAAAGGUCCCUUCUGGCCUUCUCUAUGAAAAAAAAUACCAUUAAAAAAAUCACAGUUUGUAUAAAAUACAAUUCUCCUCUUGCCUGAUGCUAAAUGAAUUGCAAAAGCAUGUUUGAAGGAAUCUAGCAGAUUGUUAAAAACAUUUUUAAGAAACUGCAGCUGUGCUGGAGACUGAGACACACUGUAAGGUUAAUCAAAUAAAAUUUGUUUCUGGUAGGCUAAAUAUGUAUUCAUAACCCAUGUGGUUACAAUUUAUCUCGCUGUUGAUGUCUUUGAGGACAUAGUUUUAAAAUAGAGAUCCAAAGUCCUAUGUCACAUAGUUCACCUGUGAAUUGCUCUUUUAUCUCCUGUACAGCUGACAGUGCAGUGUUGGGGAGCAUGUACUCUGCAGUGCUGUGGGCUUUCUUUGUUUACUUUGUUUGGUUUACCUUGGUGUCAUCUCUGUUAGUGAUGACAAGGUCAAAGAAAUUUAGCCUCCACCAGGAGCUUGCUGUGGGGUGAAUAGGGAUACUCUUUACUGCCCUGGAGAGGGGCAGGAGUCCCUUUUGCAUCUGCCUGGCUGUUGCCUUCACCUGAUGAGCUGAGCAGUUGACUGCCAUCCUCAUUGAACAACUUGGCUCAGUCUUUCAAGUUUUCAGGGACAGGGCUCUGGAACAGCUCAGACAGAGGCCAAGACCUUGUAUUAAACGUCCUGUUUGCUGGGAAGGAGAAACAGGAGCCACAGAGAGUAUGUGUUGGACCAUCCCUGUGAUGCUUGGUUGGUGUUGCUGGUGGUGUGCACAGCAACCUGAGCUGCAGCCACCACUGCAGUGCAGUGUCCCCAGGGCUCUGAGCCGACUGCUCUCCAGCAGGGAGCAUUUUGUGGUGCUGCAGGUCACUCAAAGUGUGCAGUGACUGGCCUGGUCCUUGCUGCCCUAUGCCCUGAAGGUGAGGGGAAGAUGGAGAGCAGGAGAAUUCCCUGUGGUUUUACUGUCACUCUACCCUGGAAAGCUGUGGCACCUCCAGGAAGGUACUGCAGGAUAUGUGGUGCAGCCCUAGCAUCUCUUAAUUAUUGUUUUUAGUAACCAUAGUCACCUAAAAGGUUAGGCAAUGCAACAUUAUUUUUGUUUUUUUAUUUGUUUUAUUAUUUGUUUUCACUUUAGUCCUUUUGUUCUUCUGUUCCCUUAAACACAUAUUCUCUAGAGACAGUUCUGUGGAUGCUGAAGAAGACACUGCAGAAACCCCAGCUCGGAUCUGAGAGAAAUGUGGUAAAGGCUCAUGUCUGAGACAUUUUUCUUAGAGACAAAAACCACAGUAACCUGGAUAGGUAAUAUUAAGGACUUUUAUCACCAGUUACGUAAAGACACUGUGAUAAUUUCUCUCAUGCAUGAGUACAGAUUAAUAGUACCUCUUCUCUUGAUUUGCAGGACUUAGUGCUAUAGAACAGCCAAGCUGAGUUUCAUCCUCACGUGUACUUCAGAAAAGUCUAAAACUAAUUACAUUUAUUAAUGCUGUUCAAGGUUCAUCACACAGUGGUUAUGGGAUAGGAUGGGGCCCAUGCAGCUCUUAUGUUUGUAUCACAUGAAGCAAGUCACAGCACCUCUGAGCAUCUCCUUUUGUGCCAUCCUCUCCCCAUCUCUUCAUUUUCCUGUAAUUUUCUUGAGCUAGAGACUCCCUCCUGAGGCAGGUGCUGUUUCUUAUGUAUUCCUAGUGUGUCUAGCCCCAGCUGGGAUUGUAAGAUGCUGCUGUAAUACAAACAAACAAAUAAUAAUAACUAGAGAUAAGAAGAAAAAGUAUCCAGCUUGAAAUAUGGAUCCCAAGGUGCUUGACAGAGAGAAAACUAAGCAAAUCUUACACAGAGGUCAUUGAAGGAAAAUAAAUAAGCGUGCUCAGCUGCUAGAUUUACAGGCUCCCAAGAAAGCUGCAAUUAAUAAAAUACAUUAAUUGAGAAGUGUGAAGAAUAUCUUAAAGCUUAAUGCAUGGAAAAUAUGUCUGUAUACCCAGAAAAUAAACAUCACAUUGUGAAAAGGCAAAGUUUAUAUUGCAUAGCAUAACCAAGAUUAGAAUGACUCCUGUAACUAAGUAAAAUUUAUGAUGCACUGACAUGAGGCACAGAACACUUUACCAGUAUGUAAUACAUUAGUCCUGAUGCAGUACUUCAGUGUUUCUAAUGGAGUCACAAACUUAAAACAUUUUAAGGAUGGCUGCUUGUGAUUUUGUUUUUACCAAUGCAGCUAAAAAGCCUUUAAGUAGCUGUGGUAGAUCUUGAAGCUGUAACUGUUCUUUCCACAUGGACAUUUCACUUUUUCAGAAGCCCCUCAUAACUGUGGAGGGUUUGUUGGCUUUUUUUUUUUUUUUCCAUCAAGCGUUUCUUGUUGCAGUUGAGCAAGAACAAGUUCCCUACAUUUCCUGUGGAAAGAGAGAAGAGGGGGUUGGUACAACCUAACUUCUGCAUUUUCCUUUCAGUCAGGCACAAUUUCUUUACUUUGUAACCACUGAAAAAGACAUUUUUAUGCAGAUCACAGUUCUGUUUAUUAUUAGGUUGAUUGAUCCCUAUAUAUUCCUUAUAUGUUUUCUAGUGUCUUCAAAUGGUUCAGGAUUGGGACUUAAGACUUUUUUAAUUAAGCAGAUUUAUUAUAUCUUUCAUUUAUUUCCUCAGCUACAUGAAUUAAGCUUCUUGGAGUGAUUUUCAUAGAUUCUGUUCUUUAAUCCUGAAAGCAGCUUUGUUCUCUCUUGUACCUUAAGAUCAGUUAAAACAUUUUUAGGAGGGGAAAGAGAAAGGUUUCAGACUGAAAACAAGGCUAGGAUUUGGCAGAUCCAGGAGAGGAUGAUGAUUGAUCAGAAGGUCCAGUCUUGAUAGUGUGGAGUUUUAUGAUACAACUUCUUCCAUUAGAAGAGAUAGAGAGAACCUGCUAGGUCAUAGAGAUAAGGUGUCCAUCAGUGUUACUGUGAAUUCACUUAAUUAGGGCUCAUAUCUUACCUUCUUCUGUCCCAAAAUUAGAAACUUGGAAAAUGGAUGAUUCCAGCUGAUUUGAGAGCAGGACUAUAAGCCUUAACUCUGGAUUUCUUCUUGCAUAUUAACUGCAGUCCGUAAUAUUGUUCUGAGUAUGCUUUUUUGUGAUGGAUUGCUUUUUUUUGGCUUUUAUUUUGCAUCUGACAUUGGUGCCCCAGCCCUCUGCCUCCCGGUUGCUCUGCUGUUUGACUCUUCCUAACACUGCCAUGGUGUUUGCAAGAGUGAAUUCUGCUAUUACUCCAGGGUGCUUUCAAAGUCCUUCUUGUGGUCAAGUUCAAUUCCAUUUAUUUUUGACAUGUGUUUCCUACUUCAGAGACUGCAAUGCAUUGCUUUAUAUUUCUGUCAAACUUUGUUUCAUAAAAACUUUAUGAUUCUUCUUCAUUGUCCCUCUUUCUGCUGCCAAGCACUGAAGUCCUUAUUUUUUUACUUUUUUUUUUUAUAGACAUGACAUUGAUCACAACCUAGGGGUAGAGGGUUGGGAUGAACAUCUGCACCCCAUGGUUAUCAUGGCAGUAAAUAAUUGCUUCAAGUCUAUUUUUUAUGCUUUUCUCUGUGAUUCAUAUCAUACUAUGGUGUGAAUUUCACAGUAUGCUUCUAGAGACUUGGGUGCAUCCCAUUUAAUUAGACACUUAAACAAGGUGCCAAAUUAGGAUGAUCCCCAUAUAAUCAGAGGAGGGUGCCCAGCAAAUGUCUGCCCCAUCUUAUCACUGACCAGAGAGGGAACGUUGGGAACAGCAUGCCUGGGACACUUCUUUCACGCUCUAGGGAAUGAAAUCCAAGUCAAAGUUUCCCACUUUCAAAUACUGGAGUUGAUUAAAUUGCUGCAUUUCUUGAUAAUUUAUUUACCCAUGUGCUUGCUACCGUUUUACAUAUAUGUCCCUCAGCUGAACAUCACAUAAAUUUUGUUACAGACUUCAUUGAAUUAAUCAAAUGUUCCCCCAAGAAUGAUGGACACUGUGUUGUUUGAGAGUUUGUCCUUGAUGGAAGGAGGACAUUGUCAUGCUACCAGGGACCAUGGCAGAUGAUGAGCAGAGGGAGAGAUGGGGAAGUCAGCAGGAGAAAAAGAAGGCAGAUUUCUGGGAGUUCUUUUGCAAGGGAAAAACUAAAAAGAUGGAAUAUUAUUCCAUAUACCAUCUUUCUUCUGAGUGUUCUGAUUCAGAAGUAGAAGUUGAAUGCCAGAGUGAGAUAUGAUUAUAGUUCUGAAAGAGGAGGAAGUGAAGGACUGUCACUGAAUGCUCACAUAGGCAGUGACACUUGGGUACAGUCAUCCAGACUGAGAAAAUAAGAGUUCUUUUCCUCAAACCAGCUCUGUAACCUUGAAAAAUUUGCCUGACUUCUGGCAUUGACACCUCCUCCUGGGAGUUGUCCAUCUCACCCAUUUAGGACAUAAGGUCACUGGAUUUGGGUGGCCUCCUGCAGUGCUGUGCCACUGCCCAGCACGGCUGGGAUCACAUUUGGACCCCAGGCCAUACUGAAAGCAGUAAUACUUUAAUACACUGCCAGCCUAGGCAGGAGGAAAUUGGGAAGUGCUGUGUGAAAACUUGGAGUGAAAUAACUGCUUUUCUCCCAGCAAACCACCUGGGAGAUGUGUUUUGUUUUGCUCUGAUAGCUUCUGACACUGUGUCUUAUAUUGCGACUUGUCAAAUUAUGUCAAAAUUGUGAUAUGGUGCUGUGUUACAAACUGUAUUUAUUGCUAAUUUCACACUAAAAUGUUAUUCCAUAUCACUUUGUAAUCUGGAGCCAUAUUUACUGAUUUUUGUAUUCCAUCUGGAACUUAUCAGCCUUUCCAUGAUGUCUGCCAGUAGCCCAAAAGUUCCUUCCUUGAUCUUCUCUAAUACCCAGGGAUAACUUCCAUCUGGUCCAAGAGAUUUGUUGCUUUUAAAUUCCUCUAGAUUAUUUUCUUUCUGUGUCACUGGUGUUGAAAUCAGCUCAGAUUGUGUAUGUGACAUGGGCAUUUUUCCUCUUUUUUUGAAUGGCAUUUAGAAUAUACUAAUUUAAUUUUAGCUUUCUCAAUAUCCUGCAGUUUUCUUCAGUUUUCUCUCCCAUUCCCUCCCAUGAUUCCAAUUCUUGCCAUGAUUGAAAUACUUUUGUAAUUCUCCAUUAGGAAUUAGUAAAACAGCAAAAGCAAGAAAUUAAUGUCCCUAGCCCAUGGGGCUUUUCACAAAGUUAGAUGAAAUUAAAGCAAAAUAAUGAGUAGAGACACAACUGAGUUUUUUGCAUUCUUUGAUUUUCCUUUUGUAAUUUAUGUAGUAAAUAAUUUCUUCUUUUUUUUUUUUCAUUCCUUUUCUUUUUUUGAGGUAUGUGACUUGUUAUCGUUUGAGUGAAAUUACAUACCAAAUGGAUUUUCAUGUUGCUUUGCUGCUUAGGGUCAUGACACGUAUUUAUUAUUUUUGAAACACAAGUAGUUUUAAUUAUUUUGCUGCUACUCAUGUAAUUCUGGAUAGCUGCUAGCAACUGAACUUUUACGUUUUUGUUCGUGUUAUUAAUAAAAUAUUGUUUUUAAAUUUGUGAAGGUUUACUGCUGCUCAUCCAUAUCAAUUAAAACAAUCAUUUAAAGCUUUGGUCAUACUCCAGGAGAGUCCAUUUCACUUUUAUUCCAGGUCAUAUGCUUCUUCUCCACUUUAACCACCCACUUCUAUCAGAUCAAAGCUACCCUUGCAGGUGUGUCAGGAGAUUGGCUUACAAAAACAUUUCCAUAGCCUGAAUAUUAAUAAACUUGAUAGCCUCUACUUUUCUUUUAAUUCAGCUUGCCAGCUGCAUCCCUUAACAUCCCUUAACAUAAACAUUGCUGCCUAUUGAUUUAAUAUUCAGUCCUUCCAUGUCUCUACAGCCCAAGAAGACAACACAGGGCCCUGUAUCUGUAAAAAUAUGCAUUUUAGCAGGACAUAUCAACUCCACUGCUUGCACCAAGGGGUGUCCCUUACAGCUACCUUGCAUCUUGAAUCAGUGGAAUCUAUCACUCUGAAAAUCUGGAGUGCUCAAGGGAGGGAGUUACUCCUCGUCAUGAGUGAGCAUGGAAGAGCCAAUGUCUAAACUGAAUUUUCUCUGGGAAACUGUGUUUGGAUCUGAGGUUCCAUUUAAUGUCCCCUCUGCAAGGAAGGUGGUGUGAGACAGUAGGAGCUUCUCUGCUCCUGAGCUCCCCAUGACUGAGCACCUGAAAACACUGCUCUGGACAUUCAUGGUCCCAAGAUAGGAGAUGUGGUUGACUAAAUGUUAGUAAUUAUCCCUACUGGUUAUAAUUAAACCAUGUAAUUCAUACUAUUUAUCACUCACAUUUCUGUUUUUCCUUCUGGUUACUCACUGGCUGAAGCAUAGCAGAUUCAUGACAGGUUGAAGCAUAGCUUUUUAUUAUUAAAAAAAGAAGGAAAAGGAUUUUCAACUGGAAGAUCAGAAGUUUGUUGCAUUCCCAUUUCUUCAUUGGAGACACUUCACAUCUCUUUAUUAAAAAAUUCUCUAGUAGAGAUUAUACCUUAAGCAGAGUCCAAAUUAACUUUUAUUAGAUCGAAGUAUCUUAUUUCCAAAAUCAGCAGUUAAUGCCACCUCAGAAUAACUCACAGUUAUUAAUUUAGUUAAGAAUGACAAUGGAAUUUUACUUUGUUUUUUCCUUUGGGUCAAUAUUUUCUUAAUCAACUUUAGUUUAACCAAGAUUAAAUUUCAUUGCAGAACUUCUCUUUUUUAAUCAGUUUAUAAACAUGUAGAGGUAAGCUAACUUACAGAGACUGAAGGAACUUUUUCAAGGGAAGCACCAAAAGGAGCCUUUGAGAUAGUCAAUGUGCUAAUACUAAUAAUCUUAUUUUUCAAUAGGUCCUGCUCUUCCUCUCUCUUGAGAAGUAAUAGUCUGUGCAACCUGGGAUUUGACAGAGAAUAACAGAAGCUGCUACUCUGUUAAAUUGCAAAGAUAUUUCAGUAUGCCAUUAUAAAAGCAGUGAAAAAGAAAUUAAAAGUAGAUGGUUUAUUGGAGCUUAAAAAGCUGUUGAAAAUGGGGGCCAGGGAGGGGAAAGAGGAAGCAAAGAAAAGCCAAACUAAGCAGAAGUACUUUGGUAAGUGCCUUCUCACCAGUGAUGCUGAAGCCUAAGUGUUCCUAAGGAGGUGCAGAAGUGCUGGACUUGCUGAUUCCUGGUAGCACCACCGGGUCUUCUGUUUGGAGAGUUUCUUGCUGCAGAAGAUGUGCUUGGAAGGAGCCCAGCAAGGAAAGCUUUGAUGAGGCAGCUGCUGUUCCCUGCCCCAGUUCAGAGAAUCACUUGUCAAGGUGUUGCUUGAAUUCAGACCUAGCCAUGCCCUUCCUCUCCCUCAGGUUUGCUUCACAAGCUUCUUCCACUCCUGGAUAUGGUUUGGAGGGUGUCUCAUCAGCAGGGCUGGGAUUGCUUUUGUUCUUUCAGUGGAAAACUUUCCACCUUUUUUUAAUCUGGCUAUUUUCAGAGUUAUCCAUGUGGUUCUGUCAGGGGUAACUCAAUCAAACCCCACUCCUGUUCCCAAGAGUUAAGCGUGCAUCUCUGAAAGUAAGAAGUCUAAAUUUUCCUAAUUUCAACUCAACUAUUUACUCAGUAUUUUAAUUAUCCUUUUUCCUUAUGGCUCGGUGCAGUCUUAGUUCCUUGUCUUUAGUCCCUUGUCUCAGUUUCCCAGUUAACACAAUAUUUUAUGCUCAGAUGCCUCAUAUUAAAAAUUGUUUAUGGCAUCAAAUAAAAACAUGCAUAAAACAUCUUAGCAUUUGUGUAAAUGUAAUCAAGCAGUUGUAAUAUGGAAAGUCUGUAUCCAAAUGAAAGUGUUUGCAAAUAUGCAUCUGAGGAAGAACUUGCAUAAUCCUUAGCACUGCAAACACUGGUGGUUGAUGCCCUGUAAGAAGUACAGUUUUACACCUAUUAAUGUUUUCUAAUUGUUGUAGAAACACAAAGUGCUUAUAUAUGGAUAUUUUAGGGGAGGUUUGGUCAUUAUUUCUUGGGCUUUUUUUCUUGGGUUUGGGGCUGGGUUUUUUUGAGGUUUAAAUUGGAGGCUUUAUUUUCCUUGCUCAAAGAAAAGACAUUUUAUAAUUCUAAUAGUAUAUCCGGUUCAUCACCCCCUUCUCAAUAAUUCAGUGUUAACAGGAUCCUAAAGUUCUUUCUCAUCACCAGGUGCUUUCCAAAGGUACACCCAUCUUAAAAACGUUCUUAUGAUAAUCUCCACAAAACCACUGUGUUGUACAGGAGGGCUGUGUGAUUCUUUUCUGAUAAGAUGCCCUUGUUGAUUUAUUUGCUUAUUGUAGACAUGAUUUCUGGAUUCUGCUGCAGAGUGUGACUUGUAAUUAAGGAUGCCUUGUAUGAAGUAAUCUACAGAAAGCACCACGGUAACCAAGAGACAAGCACUUAUUUUAAGGCCAGGUGUGAAAAAAUACAUACUACAAACUGUUCAUUCAAAAAUUGCAUUUGGGAUCCUCUGUAAUCUCAUGUUAUAGUAAGAAACCUGGCAUUAAGGCUAAGGAGAACCUGUGGUCUUUGGCACUUGUGUUCUGUCUUAGGCUGGUGGAAAAAGAUCCCCACUUAAAGGUUUUAUGUGACUCCACAAACCCAAUCUGAUUGACCCCAGUAUUGCAUGAGGAGGUGCUAACACAAUGCUAAUUCCCUAGCAAAUAAGAAUAAUUCAAAAUAGUUGUAUUUAAAAAUACAUUUGCACAUUUCCAUCAGUUGCAGGAUGGAGAAGUCUGAUAAAGGUUCACUCCAGAUGUUUUCCUUUUUCUGUGAAUAUUUGUGGUUUUGCUUGCAGAAGGAGCAGCACUUAAACAAACACCUUUCUGUUGUUACAUCCUCUAACGUGUUUUGUUUUGGAAAAAUGCAGUGUACACAUAAAUGUUUGAAAAAAAAUGCCCCUCAAGCUUUAGGUUUCUGCCAGACUCCCACUGAUAAGCAUGGCUCUGCUGGAAUUUUCCUGUCCUUUUUGCUAAAGCACUUGCAUAGGUAAGAUAGCAUCUGGUGAACCUCUGGGAAGGGUAUAUGCUUAUUUGUAUAAUGCAAAGCAAACAAGGAGAUGGAGAAGAUAUCCUGUGUUUGCAGGAGCAGCAUUGGGCAGAGGGUGUUUACUGCAAAGGCAUAGAGAACUUUUGCCUUGCAUAUUUAUUUAGCAAUAAUACACCUUCACUUCAGCACUACCCAAAAAGUUAAAGGUCAUCAUGUGUGGAUUCAGUGCUGUGGAGUGAGGUUUGAAUACACAUUUGUAGUCUUCGUUCACCUGGGAGUCUUCUCAGAACCUCCAGGCAUCUGGGUGGGCAGAGUUAAAAGCUGGAGGCAGCUCUGAAGGAUAUUACUUUUAUUUCAUCAGUAAGGCUGGGUUUGCUAGCAGAGCUGAGAGGUGAUACCCCCUUAGAAAUACACAUCAGGUCAUUUGUAUCCUGCCUGCAGUGCAAGUUGCAUUUCUUCUGCUUGCAUUUUCUAGUGUAAACAAACAUAGCAACAAAUAUAAUCACAAGAAAUCCAAGAGCAAGGGGAAGAACAUAGCAAACCAAAUAAACUCCCCAAACCAGCCCCCACACUUGGAGUAAAUGAGGAUGUACCAGUGCACACACAUCUUUUACUUGAGCUGUGCCACCUGCCUGUACCAAAUAUGAGCCACUGCUGACUGCUCUGCUGGGAGCUGUGCAGAGAGUUGUGGUGUGUAAGACUGGUGAACUCUUGGGAUGGUUUAGGAUGGGUUGAAGACUCUGUAAGGGUUUGUGUAUACAUGGUUGUUUUCAUGCAGUUUGUUCAGGCUAAGACAGAGCCAGGCCCUUACCUGCAAAAGUGCAAUCCCAACCCAGCUGGACUCAGUGACUUGGUAGAAGUCAGAAUUUUGUCCCAUGUGUUUGGGUAAGCACAGAGAGACCCCUGAAAGUCUGAGUUGCUGUGGCAGGGUAGGAAGAAUGACUCUGUACCUUGACUACACCUGUUCAUAGCCUUAAUAGAGGUGCAUUUAUGGAAAGGUUGUAUGAUCUUUAGAAGGGUUCCUGAAGAAUGUUUUCACAGUAGAAACACUAUAAUGCACUGUAGCGAAUGAAAACUGAGAUUAUGCUGGGCAAAACUCUGUAAUUCAGCAAAUCACGUAAUUCUGUGAAUGGGAACGUUUUCCUUCCAACUUCAGGGUACAAAGAAUUCUUUUACAUGAAUUCUGUAAGCUUCAGAAUUCAACAAUGGCACAAAUGUUCUUUUUUAUACCAUCAGAUUUGGAUGAUUCCCUUUUCAGGCAAUGCAAAAAGUGAGUUGGCUGCUAUUGUCUGCUUCACCUGUCUUACUUUCUUUCUUGAUUGUUAUUGUUCUUACCCAGAAUAUCCUACUGCUUGAUCAGUGUCCUCAUACAUGGUUUGUUUUAUUAUACCUACUUAGAAUACUUAAAAUAGCUCGGUGGCACUUGAAGAAUAAAUCUGGAGUUAAUUUGAUUACAGUGGUUAUAAGAUGUAGCAAUUAAGUAUAAUAAUUUUUAAAUAGUAUGAUUUUAUAAACAUUGAAUGAACAUAAUGUAAGCUGCAGAUAACUCCUGCAAAUUUAUAGUAAACAACUUCAUUGUUUAUUUUGACAAACCUUCUGGAAGCUUGAAAUAUUAAUUUACAUUUUUAUAGAAGUUGUUCAUGCCAGUAAGAAGAGAGAGCACUGUAUGUAUUUUAAAGAGUGCACAUUUAGGACGAGAUUGAGUGUCUUCAUGAAUUUUUUUUUUGAGAAACUACUUUAGGUUUCUUAAGCAGGGUAUAAAAUUUGUCUUAGUUUGGAAUUUCUUCAGUCUUUGUUGUCCAGUAAAGGAAUGAAAAAUUGUUCAACACAAACCGUAACAGCCAUUUCAGUGAGAGACAUGCAGAAUUAAAUGUGUUCUGCAAAGUGUCUUUGCUAUCCUUUUUGAAAUUCAGUAGUGAGAUCUGGGCCCUGAGUAGAUGGACAAAGUCAUCAGAACAACGUGAGGCUGGGAGGACUUGAGCAAAAUGAGAAAGCAGCUCCUGAAUCAGGGAAGGCACAUAUUAAUUAUUUGGCUUAUUUGCUUUGUUCACUUUGGCCUUAUUUUUGUAAGCCAUCAUUCUCCAAAGGGAAGACAAUAGUCCAUUCCCUUCAGGUGACAAGAAAAUCCUUUGUUACUGCAGUAAUUCUUCACAGUUUUUGAAGCCACGGGCACAAGUAUAAAUAAAAAAUGAAGAGCCCUCUAAGAGCUUGCAUAUAUAAAGACCGCAGGUAAGAAAACCUUUUUAAAUAAAGGGGUUUUUUUUUAAUAAUGAGGCAAUAGCAGAGCUUCCUAAUUCAGUGAUUCACUGGCUUUCUGCUGAGGCUGGUUCAGCUCUCUUGGGUAUUUAAAGCCACUUUUUAACCUGCCUCACUUCUAAAGACAAACAAGUUAGCUUAAGUUUCAAUUGUACACAUGUGGCUCAAGCUCCUUUUGCUUCUCCAGAGGGGCACACUAAGAGAAAACAAUGAUAUGUUACUGCUGCUUGGUUGUUACUUGUUGUUUUACAGUAGCUCAAUUUCUUGUGGUCAUCUUGUAUAACCUUAGUCCAGUGUAGAAGAAUUUAUUGUAAUUAAAAAAAAAAUUCCAUUAAAUUCUCAUUUUAGUUCAGCCUCUGUGCAUCUGUUACGGUGCUGUUUUGCUUGUAUUGUGUGUCAGUCCUAAGGUCUUAGCCUUUCAACUUCAUGUUUUUGUCUGUGAUGUCAGUUGGGUAAAAAACAGGGGAUUGACAUGGAAGAAUUAAAGUGGAAUGAGACAUAUUGGUUGAUAGUAUAGCUCAAGGAUAACACUAAUUGUUUUACAAGUAAAAAAAAAAAAAAAGCCUUAUUACUGAAAGCUGAGUGCCAUAAAGUCUACAUUACAUAGAAUUUAAGAUUUGAUAACCAAAAUCUUGAUGCACUAUUAAAAAAAAUUAUAAGAGCUUCCAGGUGUCAGAUAAGUAUGUUUUUGUUUCAUGUCUCUGACUCCUUGAUGUCUUCUCAGCUUAACCCAUGUCCCAUCCUUGCUCAUCCCGAGGCAGGGAGGUGAACAGAUGCCCCUCUGCAUGAUGGGCAAUAGUAGAAGUCUUCUAGCAAAAGACUAUUUUUGCUUCUGACUUCUAAUUUUUUUUUGCUAGCUUUAAAGUGAUAGUUGUAGGAAACAAGAAAAAUGUACUGACUAACUAUAUCAAGUGAAGGAAAAGUAAUACAUGUUCUUUAUCACCUUUACAUCAGAGGACUUUCAAAGCAGCAUCUCUGUAUUUGAGUUGCUUUAUUUUCCCCUCAAAUCCACAGUGGCUUUGUCCUCUUGGUGCCUUGGCUGCAAACACAGUCUGUAAAGGCAUAAGCCAAAAGGCAUCUUGGGGUUCUGUUUGCUUUCUAUCAUAUACAACAAGCCUAAAUUUGAACUUGGGUAGAUCACCUUCACAGUAUAAAUGAAAAAUCAGAUUUUUCCCUCUUUUAUUUUCUCUGGUUUUAUUGCAAUGGGUCAUUGAAAGAAAGCCUGGAGGGACAUUCUGGAAUGCAUUUUUCUUCCUCCUGUCUUAUUUUGUACAUUUGAACUACUUCAGCAAUUUCUCUCCUUUUGGUGGACAACUCCUCAGAGAAAUUAAAGAAUUAUUUAUUUAUGAUUAUUAGUUUCCUUUCAGCAUUUUAAAAAAUGUCUUCAAUGUUUGAAUCAUGCCAGCAGGCAUCACAAGCAAAAUCUGUAGCAAAAAAAAAGCAAUAUAGCAAAAAUAAUGACAAAUUCUAUCCAAAGAGGAGAAGGGAGGAGAGCUGUUCAGCAACAGUAAUGAACCAAGUUUCUCCAUGCUUCAGAUGCCCCUAGAAACCACCUGACAAAUUGAUGGGGUUUGGGAUAGGCCCCGAAGAUGGAAAGGUCUGAGCUGUUUCCUUUCUGGCUGGGAAGGAGAGUGGUUAGCUCCUAAGCCUACAUGUAAGGCAUUUAUUUUUAUAAACUCCUCAUUAGCUAUAAAAAAUAAUCUUAAUCAUUAAUGUUUAUCAAACACUGUCCUCUGAAAAUGCUGGGUAUGCUUCCAUUUCAGUCAAGUUUCUGCUAGGCAGCUUUCCCUCUCGGAACCAGUUGGAGAAAUAAUUGUUCCAUUCUUCAAGCUCAUUCAUUCUGGGCUCUUUGAGUAUUUACAGGAAAAUACGAGCUCCCCCUGCUCUGCCUUCCUGCAGCAGCCAUCAGUGGAGGCACAUCACAAGGAACCAUCUCUGAGCUGUGUGGAACACAAAGCUGGCUGUUGCCAGCCUCCUGAAUUCACUUCAUCUUGUCUCCUGAUUCAAUCUCACAGCAUUUUCCCUUCCAUGUGAAAGAAGUGGGGUUAUGCCUCAUUAUGAGAGAGUUUCAAGCAAAGGGUUUUGCCUUCUGGGCUCUUCUACAGUCAGUACCUCUUGAUCUCUUUGGUUGAUGGCAGCUGCCUAAUCACAGUGGGAAUAGAAGUAUCAACUCAGGGCAGCAAAAGGCUGGGGAUGCUGGUGAAGACAAAAGAGUUUCAUUGGAGCCUAUCCCACAGUCUUAGCCAAAAGACAAGAUUCGAUUUGGGUUGUUGGGGCAGAGGCUGAGCUGCACAUUUCUAGAGACCUUGGUCUCACCAGAGGUCAAAGAUGUUAAUAAACCCCCAGAGGACCCUGAAUUUCUUCACCCUUCAGCAGACACUGAGGACAGGCUGCAAGGGAUAAAAAAAAAUCUCUGAUUGUCAUUUCCAUAGAACAUCCAUAACUACAAGAAACCAGUGUUACUUUAAAUCAUCUCCUUUGUUCCACCAGUUGUUUCCCCUCCCAAGAUCCAGUGUCCCUGCAAGGAGUGCAGCUCUGUUUGGCAGUUGUAGAAGACACAUAAAGGGUGUCAAAGACAGAUAUCCAUUUCCUAAUGGACCUUCUGUUUCCUACAGAUUGUCUGAACUGUCAGAUGAGCAGGAUUCUCUUGUGGUAGCAGCAGAAGGUCCCACUACAGCUCCUGGCCUUCAAGGUUCACCUCAGAGAUCCUCAUUGUUUCUGAUCUUUUCAUUAUUAAAGCAAAAGAAAAUAAUUUUUAAAAUCUUUAUACUUUAUUUCCUUUGAUUAUCCUCUUCAGACAUUGCAGAAUAAUCUUACCUUUUUGUAGAUAAGGCUGUUCCACUGAGAAGGCUGUGGGUGGUGGCUUCCCUGUGCUCCUUUAAGGUCUUGAUCUUGCUUUUUUGAAGUUAAAUUGCCAGAAAGGACCUUUCCUAGAGAGCACAUGCUGGAUUUUUUUUGCCUUAUAUGUCCAAAGAGGUCUGCAUGUUCUUUUGAAACCUGUGGGUUUUGUGGUCACAGAACAUCAGUUACUCUAAUUAAAAGAAGAUUUUUGUAAUGUCUUUUUAUUUUAAACUAUGCAAAAAAUCUAUGGUGAGAUGAGCUGGCUGGAAAAAGCUAAAUAUGCUUAUUUUGCCAGCCUGCAGUCACAUUACAUCCAAGUUGGGCUUCCUCUGGCAUUUAAAGAGUAUUAAACCAUCUAAAAGGAGUUGCUCCCGUGGUCAUGGACCUCCAUUUAUUUACAUGGAAACUGGUCUAAAUUGUUCUGAAAGACAGGAUUUUUUCCCCCCUAUAAGAUGACCUGGAAAGGAUAUUUACUCCUUGAAUCUAAACCCUUGGCAUUGCAUGGAAUCAUGUUACUGGAAGCACUGUGACAGGAGUUUCAGUCUCCAUCACUGUCUAAGGAAGCCUUUUCAGAACUCCACUUUUCUGUUGGUGUGUUCAAUGACAUGUCAUGGCCUUUCCCUAUAAAGAAAAACCUCAUUUUUUGUUUAUUACCCCCCCCCCUCAUUAGCAGGGAGCAAUUAUACAACCUCACGCUGUUAUCUCUCUCCUGUCAGCUUUCUUGCCAUGUGCUCCCUGCAAGAUCCAACUUCCAUGGUGACAGACUGGACCAUGAACUUAUUUCCAAUGGAAAACAGUUGGCAGCAUUUAGAGCGAGGUUAUACCAGCUAAAAAACACUGCUAUUUAGACCUGGUGAGCUCACCAGGAGGAUAUUAAAUAGAUUAUCUAAUCUGUUUGUUUCUCUUCUUCCUGUUGACAUCCUGUCAGUUUUGUUGUUAGUCAGAGUUAUGAAAAAUGGACCUGAAAGGAGUUCACAGCAUGUGAACUAUAGCAUGUUAAGAAGGUAAGAAAAUUGCUCAGGGUGUCCUGCAUAGAGAUUUCUCUGGAUGAGCACAGAAGGAAAAAAACACACUUGUACCACUUUGAACGUGCUCUCUUUUAGAUUACUACACAGCAAAAGGUAAAGUGUAACACCUUUAGAACUCUAACUGAGGGCAGCACUGUCCCAAAAACAGAAACAAGGAGAAGCACUUUUGAGAUAAUGUCAAUAUUUUUCUCUUCCCUAUUCAUAGUCCUUUUAGUGCAGCAACCAAGCAGACUCAUGGCAUGUCUGCUGCCAAGAUCCAGAAUACAUCCAGGAGAGCUUGCCCAGUGGGGGAAGUAUUGUGAGGUCAAGGCGGGUGUGUGUGCACACUCCUGGUACCUCUAUGGACACAAUUACAGUCCCACUUGUUUAUUCUGUAGCUCAGUCAGUCCUUGAAAUGACCAGUGUAGGUCCAGCAUUCAAAGUGGAUCUAAAACCACAGCGAUUAAACCCAAGCCAGCACAAGCCUAUUCCAAGGCUGGUCAAGAGAAUUUGGACAUCCUGUUCUUCCCUUUGAGAUACAGAGACACAAAGCCAUCCUGCUGCUGUUGGCUGGUGUAGGAUUUCAUGUACUACUGCCUUGAUCCUGAGCUCGUAGGGUAGUAGGUGCUACCAGAAGAAGUGCAGUAUGUGGGGAGGGUGUCUGUGUCUGUAUCCAGACAGAUACUCUUAGGAACAUACGACCUGACAGCGAUUGCUUUGGUUCCAUCUGCUUCUGUUCUCCACCCAAACAUGCAUACUUCUACCAAAGAAAUAAAACCUCAAAUUACUUGUGUGGUCUGCAGCCGAGCUACCAACAGAACAUACAUAUAUAUAUUGCACGAGCCAAGCCCUACUGUUCCCAGGCAGCUCAGCUUCUUGUCGUCAUUUCAAUUACAGAGUUUUGUUUUAGUGCAAGAUGAGUAAGAAUCAGAGUUUUGGCCCGAGACUGCUUCAACAGUUAUGUGUCAUGCUUAAUUUUACUGCACAGCAGUUUGCCAGAUAUACCAUAUUGGAGACGUGUUGAUCUUUGUAGUUUCCAAAACUGACACUUCCUUUUCCAGUCCUGCCUGUUAAACUAUUUUAGUUGGACAACACUGAGCUUUUGAAAAAGGCUGAUGCUGCACCCCAUUUUGAUAUUGUAUUUUAAUUGAAGGAUUUAUUCAAGAUUCCCAUGCCAGUUCAGGUUGUGAUUUUUAUUUUAUUAGUAAACAUAGUGAUAUUGGGAUGAAGCCACAUUACAAACACAGAUACACCCUUGGCUGAUCCAGUGAUGGAGAAGCAUGCCAAAACCUGUUUUGCUACCCAUCAGCUCUUGUUUAUGUGUUGUUUCUAAUUUUUAUGUGAACAUUCUGGCUUUCUCUUUGCUACAGGAGGAUUAGUCCUGGUCAUAUCAGUACAGCUUAUGCCAGUACAAGCCUCUAGUACAGGCAAUGCCAUGGUCUGUUUUAAAGCCAUUAUGAAAGGUCAGAAAACUUGGAGUGAAGGACUUUAUUACAGAGUUUUAGGAUUAGGGCCAUGACCUAGCUGCUGGAAUUUCAGUCAGUAGUCUUUCCCAAGUUGGCCAGAACUGGAGGAUGUUUUGAUCCCUUGCAUACUGAAUUAUUAAUCUCCUCUUAGGUCUCAGGUGGGUCUGGCAGCAUGUGAUGACAGGAGGAAAACUGGUCUUUCUAUAAGCUGUAGCUUGAGAUACAUGAAGCAGCUCCUGUUGGUCUUUGGCCUUGUUACCUCUGUGCAUUGUUCUGUGUAUCUGCCCUCUGGAAUAUUACAUAACUGUAGAACCAUGGAAGGGUUUGGGUUGGAAGGGUCAUUAAAGGAUCACACAGUUCCAACUCCCCUGCCAUGGGCAGGGACAGCUUCCACUGGACCAGGUUGCUCCAAGCCCCAUCCAUCCUGGCCUUGAGCACUUCAGGGAUGGGGCAGCCACAGCCUAGAGUUGUCCAUCGCAUAGGACUUACUGUAACCCCUCAUCUGUCUGGAUGUAUCUUCACCAGUCAUCUUAAAAAUGUGCUAAAGAACAAACAUACAGAGACAGCUCUUCAAGAAAUCAACAUGAGGAAUUUUCAUGCUUAUGUGAUCUUUUCUUGUAAAAUGAAACAAGAAUAGCCUAAUUUCAUUUUCCUCUCAUUAAGAAAAAUUCCAUUUUUAUAGAAAUCCUCUCUUUCUGACAUAGGUGUUUGCAUUUAUUUGUGAUUGUUUCCUUUGGGACUGGGUGAAAUCAGUAAUUGUCAUUGGUUUGUGCAUCCACUGGGAUGGAAGCUCUGUCUGCUUCUGUGUAGGUCUUGUUGAAAUCCAAAACUGCAUUUAUUUUCAGUGUGAACACAGCCAGAGAGAGAAGUUAAUCCCAGCAUCUUGAAUGCAGCAUUACCUAAAGGCUGAUGAUAUAGAAAUAAUUGAAAGUAAGUACAGCAAAGUUGUUGAGAUAAAUUUUGACAUAAAAAUGUAGGUUGGUUCAUAAAAAGUUGCAGUGACAAUAGGUUAUAGUGACAGCUUUUCAACAACUGUAUAAGCCUCCAGAUGGAAGGGAAUUUGGCUUAAUGAAUUAUAGGCAGUCUGUGUAACACAAGCUCCUUUUAUAGGAGCAGCUCAGAAUAAAGAAUAAACUUAUUCAUACUGGCAUGUGUUAAAUAACAUCAUUGUUAAAAACAUGCGGUUGAAAAGAGACUGAGAAAUGAAGAAAUUAAACAAAAAUCUGUUAAUAUCUCAACCUUUGAGCUCCUGAGUAGGGCAUUGACUGCUUUGUUUCAGAACGAUCUGAUAAUGAAGGUUGUCCCUGGCCAAGUGUGGAAGCUCACAGCCUUCUGGUGAUGAGGUGACCCUGCUGCAGAACCUCCACCUUUGUGCACUUGCUCUGGGUCUGGAGUGGCCUGAGCUGGUUGAGGUUGUUACACCUGGGGACAGAUAGUCAGAGCUCCUGAGAGCACUUAAUUCCCAACCUGUGGCACGAACAGGCCACAUGACCUUGCCAAAUCACUUAAUAUCUGCUUUCCCAUCCAGAAAAUUAUGAUGAUACUUACCUGCCCCCAGGAGAAGCAUUUGGGCUUCAUUAAGGAUUAGGAUAUGCUAUUAGUUUAGUUAGUUGUGUUGAAAUGUGCUCAGUAAGCACAAGUUACUGUUAAAUAAUGAAUGAGGAGAAAUGCUGUCAAAGUAAUCCAAAGGACUGAGCCAGUCUGAGAGCGGUAUCCGAAUAAAAUCACAUGUGCCAUGAUGUCAGAGCAGGGGAGUGCGACUGAAAACUAAGAAUAAGCAGCAGAUGUCAGUGACUCAUUAAAAUAACAAACUUGUAUUUCUAAUUUUGUCAGAGUACCGUGGCACUUUCGAUAGGAUGGAUUAACCGCUGAUGAGCUUGUAGGAUUUUUGACACACGUGGCGGUGAGUUAAGGACAUGGCUGUAGCCUUCUGCCUGCCUUGCUGCAUCUGUCUGUGGCUGGCUUACAAGGCAGGAUUCAAAUACACAGACUGAGGAUUUAGAAAUGCAGGAAGUUUCUGUGACGCUACUAAUCAUGGAUGUAUAAAAUUGCCAAGUUCUCUGGGUAGGGAGCGCUUUAUUUUGGUAGCAAGUAUUUUUCUAGCAGGCCUGUGACUUUAGAAAUUUUCAGGAGGCCUGAUUUACAUCUUCCAGCUCCAGCCAGUAGUCAUGUCAUGGAUGGAUGCUUUUACUGUGGAAGUGGAACUAAUACAAAGUAUGAGAUAUUUUCUUACAGCAAUAAUUGUAAGGAUGUGUAAUUAUUUAUCCCAUUCCCUGUUUCCUGAGUGCAGAAAUCUUAAUUGUACUGGCAAAGCAUGUGUAUGUUUUGUCAGCGCAACUGUGUGUUUUUGAUACUCCCUCUCCUCAAAGUCUGCAAGGAUUCAUUUUUCUCAGCAUAUUUUAUACUUAGGAGCACCUGAAUCGUUACCCAUGCACCUCAUGAAGCUUUUUUCUAACUCAUUUUCCUAAUUAGCAGCCCGUCCCUGCCUUGUGUGGAUAAUAAGGCUUUCAUCUGUGGAUAAUAACACUUUCAUCCUUGCACAGGUGAAAGGAUGCUCUCCACAGCAGCCAUUUUUUUUUUCCCCCUUUGCAUCUCUAAAAUGGCCUAAUGUUAUUUUGGGGAUGGGUUUUUGUACCAACCCUGAGCUCUGCCAAGGCACGCUGGAGGUCCUGCCAAAGCCCGUUGUGGAGCUGCUGGAAGAGAGAGUCUGGGAGAAGAAGGAGCUGAGUGGCUCCGUCGGCCUUCGCCUGGCCCUGGGCACUGCAGUUCUCCCAGAACACAACAGAGCCUUGUCCAGCCCUGAAUGACAAGCAGUUCUAUAUUAAGGGAAACAUGAAAACACAGCUUAUUAGAAGCCACAGGGUUGAUUGAAAGCGUAAUAAAUGGCAGCCUACCAACAAAGAUUGUUGCUCUGGGUAGAUAAUCUGAUUAGUAAAUAUUUAUUUCAUUACAAAGUCCCUUUUAUGGUUUGAGCCGUGUGCAGUCAACAAUUCCAAGUGACCUCUUCAGCAUUUUAAAUGGGAUCUGGAGGUUCUGCCAUUUGAACCAGGGAUACCAUAAACAAAUAAAAGACUUUCAGUGCGAUUGGAGGUAGUGGUAUGAAAUGCUAUAGUAUUUAUUUAGAGAAUAAGUGGCAUCUGUUGUUUGGUUAGGCAGUUAGUUUAUUAUGAACUAACUUGUUUAAUCUUAAACUUUGAGAAGAUACAGAAAUAUUACAGUCAUCUGGGGACAACUGAAAAUCAUUAACUCCUCAAUUACUGCUGUGUGGACAUUCAUUUCACCGGUGCCGCUCACUAACAAAUCUCAUCACCUAAUGGCCCUCAAAUUGUUUGUACCUUGGUUUUUCAAGCACUGUAGCAAAUGCUUUCUGCCCAGACAUGCCUGGUGUAAUCAGUUAUCAGAAAGAAAGGGAAAAUACACAAAUUUUCAUCAGCUUUGCUGGUGCAUUAUAUGUACCAAAGCAAAGCAAACAAAUCUGAACAUCGUAAUAGUAGCAUUAUACAUAUAUAUUGCUCGUCAUUGUCCUCAGAACUCUUCAAUGUAAUGUUCAAAGUCUGCAGAUAUAAUAAAAGCAUUUUUACUUUGUCCAGCGUAUCAGACAAAGGAAUGCAGAUUGAGGAGAAUGCAGUACUUUGUCCCACUGGAGGUUGCGGUUUUAGCUUUAAAUUCAGAAAAUGCUUAAGAGAACCUUAUGAAAUGUAAUAAAGUUCUCUUUCCCUGAGCUCACACUCUCAAUCUGAAAUUGUAUUGAGGGAAUUUGGGUUUCAAUAGUGUCCUUACGGAGCAGCUAUGCUUAUUACUUAGAUAUUAGAGAUGCCCUGUUGAUGUACAAGCGUUUGAAUUCUAAAGGGAAAUAAAGUCUGUAUUUUCAGCUUAUUAUUGUACGAUAUUGUAGGCACUCUGCAGUAAGCGUCUGAAAAAACCUGUUCUUUUUCCCUUCUAACUUUCACCACCUAACGUGCUGUCUUGGCUUUCUACCUCUACUGCAAAAGAAAACAUCAGCUUAAAUUUCCAAUUCCCUAGUAAGAGGUUAUGUACAUUAUAACACUAUUACAGCUAAUGUAGUUUAUGUACUUAAUUCUUUGUAGUCUGAGGUUGUCAUGACACCUAGGUGCUCAAGGAAAGGAGUAAAAUUACCCAAGAGCAGGCUGAGAAGCAGGUAGCAUGUCAUCUGCUCCUUUGUCUAUUCCAGCACUGGCUUUUAACAUCUUGCUGAGUUUGCCCUGUAAAUACAGGGGCAUGCCAGUGAGCACAGCUGUGGGAUGGCUCACUCAAAAGAAGCAAAAGCAAAACCAUGCAGCAGGCACAUGGAGGAAGUUGUUGACGACUCACCCCUGGAAGUUUUCAAGGCCAGGUUGGAUGGGGCUUGGAGAAACUUGGUCUAGUGUGAGGCAUCCCUGCCUACAGCAGGGGGUUGGAAUGAGGUGAUUUUUAAGGUGCCUUCCAAGCCUUAUGAUGAUUUCUGUGUACUCAGAAGGAGCUUCUCUGGGUAAAAAUGCCUUUUCACAUCCCUCACCAUCUCUUUUUACCUUGCAUAUGCUCCUGCAGCAUAUGGGAAUACCUUGCUUAUAGCCUGGCCCGUGAAUGCCUUUCCAAAUCAUCCUUUUUCCCACCCAUGCAGUAGAAACAGAAAACUGAAAGCUCUCGUCUUUCUCUGCUCUCAGCAUGAAUCAGAGCAUGGAGGGGAUGCUCCAGGCAGGCAGCAGCUCCAAGUUAACUGUCAGGUCAACAGGGAAGGCCAGGAGCUGGUCAGUGAGCUCCCAGUGCAGCUGGGGUGAUGUUCCCGCCUUUUGUAAUGGACAGGGUUAUUUAUAAAUGAUACACAGAGGGAUUUUGAGGACUGCAAAGGCAGCGCCAGGGCAGCGUCAAAAAUACUUGAAGGUUUUAGUUCAGCCAAGAUCGCUGGCCAUGUUUUCCACAGCCCAAAAUAAGCUCCAAAAUGAGAGGGAAUGAAAGGCUUCUACUCGGUCUCAGAAGAACUUUAUCCACUUCCAGUUGUGCAGCCAUUAAAAGAGGGACAAGCAGUGCUGUGCAGAUAUCAGGAGAGCUCCUCUUCUCUGUUUUAUUUAUUUCUUACCCCAGCAAGUACAGAAAUCUUGCUGCUUCAAUAAAAACUAAGGACAGGAUUUGCCCAGCUGAAAUGAGGAAGCUUUGGCAUUGACUUGAAUCGGGAUGGCUGGAGCUGAGCACCCACAUGACUUUUGGUUCAUGAUUCCUAUGGGCAGCUUCAGCACUUUUGUACAUAACUGUUCUGCUUUGCAUUUCAUUAUGUUUAUUGAAGCUGUAUUCUAACUCUAGGUUUGGGGGGGCUUAGCCCCUGAGGUUUAUUUAGGAGUGGAGGAGAAAAGUCACUCUUGUGCUGUGAUGCCUUUUAGGUCUUCCUGAUGUAGCAAGAUAGAAGACAUGUAAUAAUUUAUUGCCACGUUAAAUAUUGAUUUAUUAUUUUUCAUGGCACAUUUAUUCAAAGCUUCAUGCCGUCAGGUUUGCACCAUCACCCUGUCUGUGUGCACAUGUCCACACAUAAAUACUCAUUGAUACCGGAUGUCCUGUCAAUUCCCUGAAGUGACACAGAAGUGGAUUUGAAAGUGUAUAUUGGCAUUGAAACAUUGCCUGUAUAAAUCCAAGAUUUUUCUCCCAAAGAAAGGAAGAGCCCAGCCAAAUAAACAAAAAGUCCUUCUGAGGUGUGCAGUCUUUGCUGCUGAAAUAUUGAAAGGGAUUUUUUAACCUAAAGAACAGUUUUUUUUGCAAAGCCUGUAGUACACAACUCACUGAGCUGGGUUGAUGGCUGGAGGUGUGUGUUUCCACCCUUAGUUUAAGGGAUUGCUUAUGAAUAGCAAGGAGGCAGCUCUUCAAGUUGAGACUCUAUUCCCAUGGCUGCAAUCUUCAGAGCCCUGGAGAUGAUGAGGCUAGCUGGAAGAGCCCAAGCACACCUGUCAGGCAGAGCAGAUUGAGACAACUCAAUAGUAUCACCUAUUCCACUAAAACCUGAUGAGCCAGUUGUGCUGCAUUUCUCCAGCAAAAUGCAUAUGUAUGCUUUAUGGCUAAUAAAUACACUGCACAAAUUGAAUGGGAGCUAAAAUGUCCAGUUCCAAGGGAGUUCAUUGUGGAGAGAAAAAUUUCCCGUUCUCUUUUCCUGUGCUUUAGUUUUCAUUUUUAUGGGGUUGAAGAAGUCAGGUUGUUGAUAGUGCAUCCUGUGAAUUGUGGGUCCUCUGCAGGUGGUGGUAGAUGGCAGGGGGCUGUCCCCACUUCCCCACACAUCCCAGCUAGGUCUGCAAGUUACUUUUCAGUGGGUUGGCAAAGAGUUUGCUAGAAAUAAUUGUUCCAAUAGCUUCUUUCAGAGCAAAGUGGGUGGUCUGACUUGGGCACCAAGGAGUUGAUAAGCAAUUUCUAGUAGUUGGCUGUUCAUCACACCACUGGCCUCUGCAUCCUUAAGCAACAGCCUGACUUCACAUAGCAUUUCCUUCCACUGCAAGUUUUGGCAGCUCCAAAAUGGAAAGGGCUUCCUUCCAUUAACAAACAGAUCCUUGCAUGGAUCAGGACUCGGGUCUCAAUCUCCCUGUAACAUUGCCAUAUGAUGCCUUUGCUCUCACCUUCCUCAGCUGGAAUUUGAAAAAGCCAAACUCAGACUCAAGAGAGAGGCUGUUGCACUGAAGAGUUUUUAACCCCUAACUGAUCAAAUUGCUUCAUGACUGGGCAUAUCCACUGUGGGCCAAGAGGUGAUGGAGGGCUCACAAGUUGUCCUCCACAUGUGCCUUUUCUAAAUAUAAAGAUGUUGAUGAAAUCCUGGUCUCCAGAGGGUUUCCAAACUGGACAGAGUCUCCUGUUCCUGCGUGGUACCCUGUCCAUAGCACUCACAGCUUCACAAACAGGAAAGCCUUCUAGCCCAUCUCCAUGAAGGUGUUGGGGUGAUGUCACCCAUGGCACACUUGGCUCAUGGGUGACAUCAGACCUGAAUUGAACUCCAUGGUCAGUGUUGGCCACCACUUCAGCCAUGUCACACUGACUUGUCCAAUGUCUCUUUCAAUUAUGCCCUCUGUCCAUAUGUCCUUUAAGUAAUUUCUUUCCUAACUUCCCUCUUUUAACAAUUUCAUGUUAAUAUUUUUCAUUUUCCCCCAAAUGUCUGCUACCUGCCCAUUUUGUGUCCUGUUUACUGUUGAAACUCCUUUGCAUUAUGUAUUCAGUAAGAAAUGCCUUGCUCUAUGAAAUGCCUUCUGCCUGCAAACACCCCAUUUCCCUUAAGACUUCCAGCAAUGAUCUCUGAAAAUAUCCACACCACUUCACAGAGAGCUUGUCUCUGGUGUAUUCAGAUGUCAAACUGUUUGUGUCUCGGCUUGGAGCAGACACUGUCUCAUUUGUUUGCAAAGCCCUACUGUGCACAUGGGACACUUCUCAAUAAAUAAUAGCAGCAGCUUUGUCUGCUACAUCCUAUAGUAAAAUUUCAAAAUAACCCCAAACUUUUCACAGUUGAGGACUGUCUCUCCUUGCUUUCUUGCCUGCAUUUUAAAUUAUAUUUUUGUUGUGCUUCCAUUAAGCUUUUGCAAUUUCAUUCUUCAGUGUGUGAGAGCUCACUUUGCACAAAUCAGGCUAAAAAUCAACUGCAGAUUCCCUGUUGAGAAUCUUCCUGGAAAGGCUGGGAUUUCUUCUGAUGAAGAGGACACUGCGGUCCCUAAUACCACUUUCUUUUUCUAAGCCUGGAGACUGGGUGAGAUGGAGGGUGGUGAAGUGAGGAGUAGAAAGAAAGCUGAUGCAUUCCUGUGAGCUGAACCCACCAUGGAUGUGGGGGAUCUUACACCAUCCCCACAAGGAAGGAAAGGACUCGUUCCAGAGCUGGGCCAAGCAGGGCUAAACUGAGUAAGCUCCAUGUGGCAUCCCAGCCUUCGUGCCAUGCUCACUUCUGACAUGCCCAAACCCCCGGCAGUAGCAGGGCACUGAGCAGCGAGAUGGGACUUUGGUCAUGGUACUGUUUGCUUCCUCCUCCCCUCCCACCUGGAUCCUUGCUGUUUCUUUUCCACUGGCUGAGUUGCAUGAAGCAUCCUGGGGUUUUUUUUCCCGUUGGGAGUAAAAUAAAGCAAAAUGGGGUACUUUAGGUAGCUGUUGCAAUUAAGUGAGUGCUAUUGUGGAAAUCAUCCAGGCAGUACUAGAAGAGCGUGAGCUGCAGUGGAACCAGACAGCCCUGCUCUGUCCAUCAGUCUGCUGCUUUUGUUACAACAGUGUUGGCAUUUUCAGGGCAGGUGUGUGUGGAAGCAAACAGAGCUCUGAGAGGGCUUGAAAGAAGGGAUGUUGUAAAUUUACAGUAGAAGCACUGUGCUACUAGAGGUGCCCACAGGCCUAUUUCCCCAUCCUGCUUUUCUGCCUGUUGUCCCUGCUGUUCUUGAGCAAGCAGGAUAUUUAAAUACAUGAAAAAUUGCUGUCUCCAAGGGACAUUGCCUACUUAAAACAACAACUAAUCUGUGAGGUGACCAACCAACACCACCACCUGAGAGUUUUGGGUUUGUUUGUGCUCAUGAGUGUGUCUGCACAGCACAGCUGCUUCUCUGCUCAAGAGCCACUAGAGUAUUGUAAUAUUGAGGAAUCCUGCUCUUGCCCAGAAGCUGAUUGAAAAACAAACCCUUACUGUCCUGACCUGCAAUUUGUACAGUGAAUGGCUUUAAAAUUAAGGCUUGGCAAAUAAUUGAUCCAUCUGGUAGACUGCCAAAUUGAAAAAUAUCAUCACCAACACCAGUUAAAUGCUCCUAGAUGACUAAACAGCACUGGAUCUAUUUCUUCUGAUCAGCACAAGAACUGCAAAUUGGAGAGGAAAAAGAAAGUACAAGGAGAAUGAGGUUUUACUGUCAAACAAAGGAGUCCAAUGCACUCAAGAAAAGGCUUAGUCCUUUAUAGAAAAGUGCGGGAAAGAAAGGCAGACUUCACAGAGGGGGAGAAGUGCAUGGCUGCCCUUUCUCCUGGUAACUCAGCAGUUCAAUUCUGCACCUAGGGUGGCACUGACCAGGGUUGCCAUCCCUUUCCUGCCUGGUAGGGCCUGGAUCCAUCCCCCUGUGAGCAGCCAGCCUUGUGCACCCACUCUGCACCUCCUCCUGCCCCUGCCACGGGUCUGGGCGCUCAGACAGCAAGGGGGACAUCCCCACCUUGACAUUGCUCACACCUUCAUAGUCUCUCUCCUGAUGAAGGCUAUUUCCAUCCAAAAUCCACCACAAAGUGAAUUGCAGCCACGUGGGAGGUUGGACUUCUUCCUGGAAAGUGGAGGUCUUGAUUUGCACCUGCCUCAGAGCUGGGCUACAGCAAGGCUCCUACUCUUUCCCACCUCUCAAGAGGACUAUGUUGAAGUUGUUUUCCUUUAAUCUCUCGUAUUUCACAUUGGCUCUGCUGUGCACCAAACACAUAAAACAUGCUGUACAUAUAUGUGGUAUCAUGCAGCAGUAAGUAGCAAUAAAUACAAGUCUGCUCUUGUAGCAGAUGUUCUUGCAGCUCCCCAGAACAGAGCAGUUGGGCAUUAAGGAAGAAAGAAAAUUAAAAUAGGCAGGAAUAGCCCACCUGGCCUGAUGUUAUGCUGAAUUUUUGGAGAAGAAAGCAGCAAGAAGCUGGGAAGCAUGAUCAGGGAUGGGGCUCUGCCAUCAGACUCCUUUGAGUGAGAAGACCUGACCUCAAUCAGAAUAAACUGGGAGGCCCCAAAGGAUGGGUGACAGAGAGCCUUGGCAGUAUGUGACAUGAGAGAAGGCCAGCAAAGUAUCUUGGGAAUAAAUUGUUGCUUCAAUUAUCUUGAAGCCCUGCUUUGGCAGACUCAUAGAUUUUUUCAGAAUCAGAUGGACAUUAGAAAAAUAUAUUUUCUGGAUUAGAUUUUAAUUUAGGGACUGAUCAACCGUGCCAUUGUCCUUUCUCUUAAAGAAAGAUCACCUCUAUGUCCUUAGGCUGUAGAAUACAUGUCUCUCCCUGAUAUUCAAGUCUCUGAGGCACAGUUUAAUUUGUAAUGUUGUAAAUAUCUUCAAGUUUGCCAGUUCUUGUGAUUUGAUUGCAAGUUUUGCAGUACUGUGUGAUUUGGAAAGGGGAAAACCUCAGCUGUGAAGCUGUGAGGAGAGACAUGGUUGGUUGGUGACUUUUUUUCCCCUGAGCUGGCUAAUACCAAAGAUCUGUUAGAAGUGUCCUGAAUGUGAGGGCUUUUUUUCUGAAAUAAGUAGGAAAGGCAGCUGCAUGUGCAAAGAAAUACAUUUCCAUGCCUCAGGUUUGGUACCAGGGAGCCUGGUGGACCCAUCACAUCUGGCUGUGUCACAGGUCUGAAGCCAAGCCCCCCACUCGGGGGACUGUGCUGUUCUUUCAUGUUUAAGGAUAGGUGCCCAAUUGAUUGUAUAGAUUAAUCCAAACUGGGGCUUUUUGUGUUCUUGCUGCAUUUAACCAUUGCCAUCUGUCUUCCUCAUCCAAACUUGCAUUUCAGCUCAGUAUCUUGAUGAGAGCAGGUUAGCCACAUUUUCUGUUAGCUGGGCAGGUAGGAAGUAGGCUAUUUUCUUUUUUUCCCAGGAACUGUAACAAGAGUCCUCUGCUGCUUUGCAUAGAAGUUUCCUGUGCUCAGAUGUUUGAUUUAUCGUGGUCUUUAAGCAAUAAUAACUUCCUUUUCUCUUAUUUAGCAUCUCUGGCAAAGUUAGACCUCUUCAUGCAGAUACAGAUUGUUCUAAUAAUAAAAAUAGCAGUAAAAAUAAGUCUUGGUGCCUCUGCUUGUUCUUCAACAACUUUUUUUCUGGCUGGAGAAGUAUCUUUCACAUACAUCAGGGAAGUCCUAAGCACGGAUUUAGGCUGAAUAGAGAUGGGAGUGAGUCCAGGGGAGGUCACAAACAUGGUCCAAGGGCUGGAGCACCUUUGCUGUGGAGACAGGCUGAGAGAGCUAAGCUUCUUCAGCCUAGAGAGGAAGAGGUUCACGGGAUCCUUAGAGCAUCUUCCAGUACCUGAAGAUACCUAAGGGAACGCUGGAGAGGGACUUUUUACAAGGAUGUAGUGAUAGGAUGAGGGGGAAUGGCCUUAAGCUAAAGGAGUGUAGGUUUAGAUUGGAUAUUAGAAAGAAAUUCUUCACUAUGAGGGUGAUAAGCCACCUGAACAGGUUUCCUAGAGAAGCUGUGGAUGCCCCAACCCUGGAAGUGUCCAAGGCCAGAUUGGAUGUGGCUUUGAGCACCUUGGGAUAGUGGAACGUGUCCCUACUCAUGGCAGAGAUAUUUGGAACGAGAUGAUCUUUAAGGUCUCUUCCUUCCAGGCCAAACCAUUCUGUGGUUCACUUGAGACUGCCCUUUAUGUUUGACCUUGAGAUUUUAAUAGAAGUAUGUCAGUUUUCCUUUUCACUUAGUCAUUAACCUUUGGCAAGAAAAAAAGAUAAAGGGAGAUUAGAAAUCCAAAUAGGUGAUCUCUGCUGUUCUUUUUUAGACAAGUCUGUGGUAUCCUCUACAGGAGAUCCAGUGAGCAAGUGAAGCAUCAUUUCCUCUGUGCUUGCUCUCUUUCUUCUCUUUUCUCCCUGCCUAAAAUGAGAUUAAAAAACAAACUCAUAAAUACUCUUCCUUUGCUGCCUGCAUAUAGUGUUUCUAAAUUUCACUCUUUGCAUGUAUUUCUUUCUUCACAGCCCCUCAACUGCUAUUUGGUCAUUUAUGCAGGAAGCCUGUCACCAUUGUGACACAGCAAUCGUCCUACAAAGCCAUUUUAAAAUAGUUAUUUUCUGUGAGCAGAACAAGAGAGGUUAAUGCUGAUGACUUUUCCUUUAUCUCAGAUUUUAUGUGUAGAUCAUGGUGGGCAUUUUAUUUGUGUUUCUGCAAAAUCAGAUAAUUUCCCAGCUGUACAAGUCUAUUAGGCAUGUAAAAAAAAUAGGAAGGUUUAUUUUGGGCAGGUUUAGGUUGUGUUUAAUCUCACACCCUUGAAAUAUUAUAAAUAUUCACAUGCAUUUUUCAAAUGACAUCAGAACUAAUGGAUGAUAUUUAAAGUUACUAAACGUUAGAUGUGUUAUUACACUGAUCUUCUGAAAAAUACGUUCUUCUUCUCUUGUAAUUAAUCUCAUUAAAAAGUCUUUAGCUGGCAUGGAGAAAUAAUGGAUCUUUAAUGUUUUGUUUGAUAUUGAAAGCAAGUUUAAUAGUGAGACAUUAAAAAGUAGUUUUAAUGUGCCACUCAGCAUGUAUGGUGAUCACUUGCAAUCGAUGAUGCCUAAUUUAAAGAUAAUGGAAAUUCCAUCUUGUGCUAAAAAGGUGCAGGAGAAAUGUGCUGAAGGAGGAUGGGAUGGGUUACUUGGCAGCUGGGGACCAACAUCUUUCUGCUCUGAAUAGAACAGGCCCAGUGAGAAGCAGCUCACCUUGCAUGUCAAUAGUUGGUAGUUCAAGAAGUCACAUAUCCCAGGCUACCAGUGUGUAGUCCUAUUUUUUGAAAUAUAUACACAUGUAUUCCCAACUUUUCUUUUUUAUGGCAGUUCUCAUAAUUCAUGAAAAUGCUAAAAAUCCAUCAUCUGAGCAAUUCCUGUUUCAAAAGCAGACCUCAAAGUUUAUCUGCAAGCCAAAUGAGACUGCCCACUAAAUGUCUCUGAAAUAUCUUGUAAUCACUGGAAACAGUUCAGCUGUACCUUAUUCAGGCAGACAGAUCUUACUCUUCUGUGGAUCUUGUUCAAAGAGCUUCUCUAUCUAUUUUGGGAAUGAGAACCACCUAUGACAAAUAUCCAGAGACCUACACGAUCCUGUUGGAAGAAGACUGUGAGUCAGCCAGCUCCCUAAGGAUUUGGUGUUGGCUACUUAAAGACUUUCAGGUUAGGGAAAAAAAAAAAAAAAGAGAGUGAAGCAAAUAACAUUGUUUAGUAAGAAACCUUUCACUGAGAGUAACUUAAAGCUAUGUAAUUGGGGUUUAUUGAUAAAGUAAAAGACCAACUAAUUCUGCUUGCAUUUAGCAGGGUGUUGAGCACCCUCUGACAGGUGAGAAGGAACGGGUGAAGGUGGAAUGUUGGGAUUUGAAUAAGGUCUGUGAUAUGGUCACAUGUAACAUCUUCUCAAGUAAACCAAGGAAGAGUGGCUGAGCUGAGAGGGCAGCCCAAGACCACCUCAAGACAUGGCCUGGCCCAUGGCAAGGCUGUCCCCUGUUUGUCUCAGGGGCAUUGACGUGUGGAUGAUCACCUCAUGGAGAGGAGAGGAGAGGAAAGCUUGGAGAAUACAGAGGUGACUUUCUGUUGAUUGGUUUAUCAGUGCGAGGCAAUUCUGUAUGUAGAUGUGGAGGUAGGAGGGGAAAAAACCCUAUCAAAAUGCACAAACGUAAAAGGGGAAUUUGCUGGCUGGGAAGCUAUACCUGAAAUAGGAGGUUUAAGUCAGCUUGUAGGAAAGUCUUGUGACGAAUACGGCUAAGCACUGAAUUGGGCUCCUUGGCAAGGUUUUGAGUUGUCUUCUCAGGAGACAUUUAAAAACUUGUGGUGAUAGGACAUUGGCAAACAGCUUUCAAAUGUAGUAAGGCAGGUUUAGAUUAGAUGAAGGAAGAAACACUUUAAGGGCGAGGGAAUGGCACAGGCUUCCCAGGGAGGUUGUGGAUUUCCCCUCCCUGUAGAUGCUUAAGGCUAGGAGGGAUGAAGCUUUGAGCAACCUGGUCUAAUGGAAGGUGUCCCUGCCCAUGGCAGAUGAUCUGUAGGGUUCCUUCUGACCCAAACCAUGGUGUGAUUCAAUGAUAAAGAGAUGUGUACACUAGAGUCAGGCUGUGUGUGUGGGUACCACCUUUGAGGUGUCUGAUUGAGCUCCUUCCAGCUUUCUACUUGUUCCAUUUUCAGAUAACACCUCACAGGCUGGGCUCAUAUCAAUAUCAACCUGUAAUGGGAGAGCAUUGGCACUGCACAAGCUCAACCCUGCACCUCCAUUCCUGCUGAAUUCAUCUUCCUUGUAACCUAUUUCUUGACAAAUACUGUCUGGAUACAAAAUAAAUAAAUAUACCUGACAAUAAUGAUGGAAUUUUUGUGCUUGUAGAAUUGCUUUGGCAACAUCUGUUUUUUCUAACAUUUAAAUAGAAAAAGCAUUACAAGCUUUCAUUUGCAGUUUAGGUAGCUGGGAGUUAAGUGGAAAAGCCUUUGUUUCAUCCCUGCUCAUUGCUAAAAAGCAUGGGGAAAUUGGUGAGAAAACAACCUGAUUAAUAUUAAGAAAUGGAACUGAAAGUGCAAAUUUUCUUGGCUGUGUUAUAAGCUGUGUUUGGUAAGUCAUACAACUCUUCACUUUACUUAGCUUCUCUGAGGCUCAGUCUGAUCUCUCUUGGGAGGUUUUGGAGUAAUGAAGAGAGACAGAACCAUGUAAGUGCUAAAUAUUGCUACUCUCAUUUAUUCUGUGCACAGUUUUUUAUUUAAGUGCUACAUUUUUGUAUCUUCCUUAAGAGGAUUACAGGGGCAUUUUCUUUCCCCUUUCCCUACAGUUCACAGAAGUUUGUAUAACUAGUUUAUUGGUACAAACUGAAAUCUCACAGAUUUCCCAUUGCUUCUAAAUAAAUUGCUACAUUACAUCAUCACCAUGUUUGUGAAGAAUAUACAUGUGUAGAAACUGCAGGUAAAAUGUGUGGAGCCAGGCAGAUACCCUGGUCUUGGUGCUGAUACUGAAUACUGUGGGCUAAGAAAUGUUAGUCAGUGCGACAGCGCUGAACACAAAGGGAUAACUUCCUCUUUCUUGUGGCACAAAAUCAAUGUAUAGCGUCAAGACUGUAUAUUGACAGCUUGAUUAUAAAGGACACUGAAUAUACUUGACCCUGGAAUAGCACCAGAAUGGAACAGAACAAGACAUUUAUACAGCACCAACAAGGGUAGCAUGCAUUAAAUCCUGCUUGCUAUUCUCAGUUACAUGAGAUAUUUUUAAAUCUUGUUACCAUUACCCUUUCUUUUUCAGAUCUUUUUGCAUUCUGUUUGAUUUUCUUUGGCACUCAUGCUUCCUCCACAUGUGUAGCUGGCAGUUCAGCUCUGUGACAAAGCUUUGUCACGACACACCACUCCUUGCUCUCCUGACAGAUCUUGCUUAGUUUGUGGGGGGAAGGCACAAGCCUGUCAUUGAGACUGGGUGAGAGCCAAAUGUUACAUGGGUUUUUGUCCUUUUGAUUUCUUGUAGCAGGAGGGAGGUUGAUGCCAUGGGGGAGUUGGCAGUGCCCACACUCAGACUGGGGUUGGUGGGAGCCACAGCAGCAGAACUUGGUCUCCAUCACCCUGCUGAGCAGUAAUUUGUCCUUCUGAGCAUAACAGCAAAGGAGCAAUCUCCAUGGCAUGUCUCUCUGCCUUCCUACGUAUGUUUUCCAUCCUGUUUCAGGUGUUAUGUCCUCUCUUAACACCAACUGUGAGUUAACUGGGCAAGAGUGCUGGUUAUCCUACCCACUUCCAGCUGGAGUAUAAGACACGGGACUAAAAUGAAAGACCGUAGUAAACAUUAUGAUUCAUUUCAUCCAAAAAGGACAAAAUGCUAAAAAUGGUAGCAAGAAAAAUCUCUGCCUUCUUUAUUUUAACUUGUGGAUAGCUGCAGUUCCUGAAAGCAUAUUAGGCAGUUGCAAAUGAGGGAGAAAUUAGUCUGCAGUGUAAUUGCUAAAAAUGUAUUUGUCACUACAAAAUUUGUGAGAAGUUCCAGUUUUCACAGGAGAGUGUAACCUCCUGCUUGUGAAUCACUUCUGUGGCUUUGCUUCCUACCUCAUUACUGCCUGACCCUGAGCAUUGCAAAACUUGAUCUCUCUUUUGCCACAGAAUAAACCACAGUGACAUGAUCUGCCACCUCUCCCUGACGCGUUCUGCUUCCAGUUACUGUUUCCUCUGUCAUUUCAUUGCUGGCAUAGUUCUCAUAAUACUGUUAUCUCUGUUUCAUUGUUGUUGCCCUUAUUUUCCUUUGGCAGUGAGCACAAAUUUCAAAAGAAAUGAAAGCUAUCUCAGCUGUUUCCUCAAGCAGAGCAGUCUCACCAGCCUGGCUAUCUGAUACACCCAUCCCAAAUAGGAUUUUGUUCACCCUUCUCUGCACAUCUCUUUUUUCUUACCAUCUUCAUUUCAGGAAUGACUAACUGAUGGGAGAAUCUAUCCCAAAGCUAAGGAGACACAAGCAGUUAUAUCAUUCCUUUUUUUCCUUUUUCCGUUUAAUUAUUUUUUCUUUUUAUUUUUUUCUAAUUUUGAAGGGCUAACAUUUAGAGACACAUCAUUCAUGUUUCUAGUCAGUAAGCAAAGGUCAGUCUGUGCUGUAAACAGAGCUGUGAUUGUGGUACAAGUCAGGACACCAUCCAAGCCUUAAUCACAGCAGCUUGUAACAAAAACAGGGGAGAUGCAGCAGGAUAAAUGUCAUCUGUUGCUCACCAUGUGGCUGAGGAUCCAGCAUCACACUGAUACCCAAGGAGCUGGAAUAACAUUGAUUCAAGUACUGCUGGAGCCAAUUAUUGCCCAAAUAUCUUCUUUGGUUUUUUUACCCCUCUUUGCAACAGAUCAGGAAGGAAUAGAGCUGUUUUAACUGAGGUGGGUGCUCAUCAUUCCCCUCCCAGUCUCAAGUUGUCAGGCAGGCACACAUUCAGCAGGGAAGAGUUGCCUUCCAUGAUCUCAGUGACUGUUUCUAGCAAAUUUAAGCAGGAUAUUAGAUUGCUAUUUUACAUUCUUGCAGAGCUGCUAAAGCACAGUGUGGAUAAAGUUGAGUGCACAUCCGUCAGGAGAGGAAACAUUAUCCCCUUUUUUUUUAUUAUUUAGAGAAUAUUGGUGCAUACAGAUGAGCUUGGCUCUGGCAAGUCACUUAGGGAGAAAAAACCUUCAAAUCAUUGGAAUCCACUUACCAUGUCAUUCUCCCUCUCAGAGUAACUUUCAGUCCUAAGAUCUUUGUAGGAAGCAGUUAUAUAAAUAAGGGAACUGAAACGUGGUGUGUUUAUGUGUAUGUUUGUGUAGUAUCCAUCACAAAAUGCAGCUGUCUCUGAGGGAUUUUGCAGUGCUUAAGAGGUGCACCACAUCACAAACCAGAUGACAGCACACAGGGAAGAUAACCUUAUGCAAUUAGAACUACAAUUUGCUACAGAGAAUAAAUCUGGCAAACUCAUCCCUGUCAAGUUGUUUAUCUGUUUAGCUCAGUUGCAUUAACAAAGAGAAGCCCAAAGCACUGUCUCCUUUUGUGCUGGGGGUUUCAGCACACUGAGCUAGAAGAUAGUCCCUAAAAUGGGUAUCUUAGGAUGUUAUGAUACAAGAUAAGAAGUGGAUGAGCAAAGACAUGGAGGGAGCAAAACUGAGACCUUUACAUUUAACAAAAUAAGCCAUGGUGACACCAUCUGCCUAACUCUUCUGGAGUGUUUUGUAGUCGAAUUCUCACGUAAAAUACCCCAAUUUUUGGGAGGAUUGCCAUAAAACCUUUACUGACUGCAGGGAAUCAGGAUUUUUGUUUAAAUCAUAUUUCUGGAAUGCUGUUACGAAAUUACACUUUUGAAUAUUUUAUCCAUGCCUUUGGUCUAGAAAUAAUCCAUCAAAUUGUGAUGGGAUGCAUGCUGUUAUUAGAGCUGAUUUUCCUGCUCUUGUUUGUUGUUGUAAUUUGUGGAGAAAGGCCAUAAGUUAAAUCUCUAAUUCACAAGUUUUAAUGUAAAUCAUAUCCCAUUACAGUACAUCAUAGUGAUAUAAUACAAUAUGUUAGUUUGCCCUAAGUGGAUGUAUUUGUCUCUAUUUUCUGGCUCAGAUAAUAGUUACCAUCUGGGUGUGUGUUAAUUUUUUGUUGUUGUUUCUUUUAAUCAUUUGUGUCGCUGCUUGUUCUAAAGCCGAAAAUGACUAAAAUUUGAAGCUGAUUUAGGAAAUUGCCUGGAGAAUAUCAAAAGGAACAUCAGACACUUUAAAUGCUUCACAUUUUUAACCUAUUACCAAGAACAUUUCAAUAGCCUUGAGGCAAGUUCCUCCCUUCGUUCUUUGGUAUCUGUCUUUGGAUAUCUUAUAAAAUCAGCAGCACUGGGGCUGAGCAUGAAGGAGAAGGGCAGAAUCCCAAACUUCAAACCCUUUCUUUUAUGUGGACUUAACAAAUAUCAGAUAGUGUUGUGAAGGGCUUUGGUGUCCCCCACCCCAAUGUGCAGGAUGCAGAGUGAUAUGUCCAGCCUGACUCCAAAUCCGGGUGUUCCUGUUUCUGGCUGCUGUGAGCAUUUGGGCUGCAGUCAGUUUUGUUUUAGGAGUCUGUGCAUAUAGCUGUAACAUUCAUUAUCUGUAUAUUUUUAUAUGCAUGUAUUUUGUACAUCCUUCAGGCUGUUUGAUUCAAUUUCUUGCAAAUCUCUAUGCCAAGCCAGUAACGAUGCAUCAUAUGAAGGAAUGUAGGUGCCUAAUUUGCACCUAAAUUUUAUGUUCUGGUGAAGAUGUCCCUGUAAAGUAAGUGCAUAAAUUCCUUAUAAAGCCACUGGGGAGAAACAGUUGCUUUGAAGACUCCCAAAGAGCAAUCUUUUCUACCUGACUUUGACACUUAAGUUGCUCUCAGUAGUGCUGUGAUCUUUUUCCUUCUGAUGAAAUCUCAGGGAUUUGAGGCAUGACUUUUUUUUAUCUUGUUCUGCUCUGGUGCAAGGUGACUGUGAUGGUCAAAGAUUACAAAGAACACACUGAAUUAAAUUUGGUCUCUGCUGGGGAGCAAAAUGUGUAAAUUCAGUUUUCUGUUUUGAGCACCUGUGAAAAUAUUUUAGAUGUUGAUUUGGAGAACAUUAAUGUGGGCUCCAAACUUUCACACUUGCACACGUUUAGGUAAGGAUAGAUGCUUCACAGCAUUACAUCUACCCUCUGACUGUUUCCUCAUGCACUGGCAGGCAUGUGGUUUUAACAACUUUGUGUUUCAAAUCCUGUAACUUUUAAAACCUGAGCAAAUACAACCCUCUUUAUUCUGGUGCACCACUGUCCUUGGUGCCAGAGAAGCUGUGAAUGCCCCAACCCUGGGAGCAUUUGAGAUCAGGUUGGAUGGAACUUUGAGGAACCUGCUCUAGUGGAAAGUGUCCCUGCCCAUGGCAGGGGGAGUUCAGAUACAGCUUUCUAGACUGCCUUUGAGCCCUUUACCUACUUUAAUUUUUCUCACUACAGACAGAGAAAGGGAGAAAUUAUCCCAACAGCUUUCCCAGACAAAAUAAAAAGUGUAAAUCAUAUUUUCUAAUUAUUUCUAUUCAGACAUGGAAACCCAAAUCACACAGUCCCUAAUGAUGUUACACACAAUGAAAGGAAGGGCCUUUACCCAAAGACUUGACUUCAUUGUGUCAUGAUUAGAGGCAACAAAUAAAUGAGAGAAAACAAGGGUUUGGUUAAAUGGAAAAGUCAUGGCUAUUUUCUCUCUUCAAACUGUUUUGAUAUGAUAAACUGUGAAAAAAGAAAUUACACAGGAGAAAACACUUGAAAUUACUACUGGUAUUGUCAAACAGUACCAUUUGCUUGAAUACCUAAUGUUCAGACAUCAGUAUUCGUCAGAAGCAGUCUUGAGAUCAAAUCCUCUGAGACUGACUUGAGUUUGAGAAGCAUCUUCCUUUGCUAUAGAAUUUUUCUUAUUUACAGUGUGACUCUGAUAAAGGUUUCUGGAUAUAAGAAGAUUUAUCUGGACCAGAUAUACAGCUACAUGAUAGAUAUAUAUAUGUCACCCCCAAUAUAUAUCGGCAUCCAAAUCAGACAAAA